AAAAGCGUGCUAUGCCAAAAGUAACUUUGGCAUAGCACGCUUUAGAAAAA
This 50-nucleotide unclassified non-coding RNA is filed under the name Latilactobacillus sakei. RNAcentral describes it as "Lactobacillus sakei ctRNA_pT181". Lineage: Bacteria; Bacillati; Bacillota; Bacilli; Lactobacillales; Lactobacillaceae. The record is from RNAcentral.